CCUACGGGAGGCAGCAGUGGGGAAUUGUUCACAAUGGGCGCAAGCCUGAUGACGCAACGCCGCGUGGAGGAUGAAGGUCUUCGGAUUGUAAACUCCUGUUGCCCGGGACGAAAAGCUUCGACCUAACACGUCGAAGUCUGACGGUACCGGGUGAGGAAGCCCCGGCUAACUCUGUGCCAGCAGCCGCGGUAAUACAGAGGGGGCAAGCGUUGUUCGGAAUUACUGGGCGUAAAGGGCGCGUAGGUGGCCUUCUAAGUUGAACGUGAAAUCCCUGGGCUCAACCCAGGAACUGCGUCCAAGACUGGGAGGCUUGAAUCCGGGAGAGGGAUGCGGAAUUCCAGGUGUAGCGGUGAAAUGCGUAGAUAUCUGGAGGAACACCGGUGGCGAAGGCGGCAUCCUGGACCGGUAUUGACACUGAGGCGCGAAAGCCAGGGGAGCAAACGGGAUUAGAUACCCCGGUAGUCCUGGCCCUAAACGAUGAAUGCUUGGUGUGGCGGGUAUCGAUCCCUGCCGUGCCGAAGCUAACGCAUUAAGCAUUCCGCCUGGGGAGUACGGUCGCAAGGCUGAAACUCAAAGAGUAGUCGCGNGNGAGNGCGACGACGACGACGACGGAGGAGAGG
RNAcentral lists this ribosomal RNA (620 nucleotides) under uncultured bacterium. Its description in RNAcentral is "bacterial SSU rRNA". It matches the Rfam family "Bacterial small subunit ribosomal RNA", at positions 338 to 956 of the family's 1533-position model. The record is from RNAcentral.